This 459-nucleotide long non-coding RNA is filed under the name Oryzias sinensis (Chinese medaka). Its description in RNAcentral is "lncRNA (ENSOSIG00000017518.1)". Lineage: Eukaryota; Metazoa; Chordata; Actinopteri; Beloniformes; Adrianichthyidae. The record is from RNAcentral.
CCAGACAGGUCCAAAGGGUAGAAAGGGUGCACAGGUGUGAAAAUCACAUAAUUCUGCACAAUUUUUCCUUCAAGUCUAUUCAAAUUUAUCUUUAAUACUUUUCAGGGUGAUCCUGGAAUUGAAGGUCAGAUUGGACGACUUGGUCCAAAGGGGGAUGUUGGGUUGAAAGGUGAUAAGGGUGAAGUUGGUGUAGGCGGAGCAAAGGUAUUGUGGGGCUAGCAUCCAUGUUUUUCAUGUUAUUCUGAAGCUACAUUGUGUUGCUGCUUGUGUUUAUCCUUUGUCUCCUUGCAUCACAAACCCUUAGGGUGUGGCAGGCGUACCAGGAAAAAAUGGAGUUCACGGACAAAAGGGUACAAUGGGCAGAAUUGGAGCUCCUGGCUGCAAAGGUGAUCCAGGCAAUGAGGGACCAGAGGGCUACCAAGGAGAAGCUGGUGAGACCGGUCCUCAAGGAUCCAAUGG